Molecule: ribosomal RNA, 800 nt
Filed under: uncultured bacterium
Lineage: Bacteria
Description: bacterial SSU rRNA
Rfam family: Bacterial small subunit ribosomal RNA
Source: RNAcentral
AGAGUUUGAUCAUGGCUCAGAUUGAACGCUGGCGGAAUGCUUUACACAUGCAAGUCGAACGGCAGCACGGGAGCUUGCUCCUGGUGGCGAGUGGCGAACGGGUGAGUAAUGUAUCGGAACGUACCCCGUCGUGGGGGAUAACUCUCCGAAAGGAGAGCUAAUACCGCAUACGACCCGAGGGUGAAAGCGGGGGACCUGGGGUAACCUGGGCCUCGCGCGAUGGGAGCGGCCGAUAUCGGAUUAGCUAGUUGGUGGGGUAAAGGCCUACCAAGGCGACGAUCCGUAGCGGGUCUGAGAGGACGACCCGCCACACUGGAACUGAGACACGGUCCAGACUCCUACGGGAGGCAGCAGUGGGGAAUUUUGGACAAUGGGCGCAAGCCUGAUCCAGCCAUUCCGCGUGAGUGAAGAAGGCCUUCGGGUUGUAAAGCUCUUUCAGCAGGAACGAAACGGUGGGUCUUAAUACGGCCUGCUAAUGACGGUACCUGCAGAAGAAGCACCGGCUAACUACGUGCCAGCAGCCGCGGUAAUACGUAGGGUGCGAGCGUUAAUCGGAAUUACUGGGCGUAAAGCGUGCGCAGGCGGCGACAUAAGACAGAUGUGAAAUCCCUGGGCUCAACCUGGGAACGGCGUUUGUGACUGUGUGGCUAGAGUGUAGCAGAGGGGGGUGGAAUUCCACGUGUAGCAGUGAAAUGCGUAGAGAUGUGGAGGAACACCGAUGGCGAAGGCAGCCCCCUGUGUUAACACUGACGCUCAUGCACGAAAGCGUGGGGAGCAAACAGGAUUAGAUACCCUGGUAG